Molecule: ribosomal RNA, 840 nt
Filed under: Xanthoparmelia chlorochroa
Lineage: Eukaryota; Fungi; Ascomycota; Lecanoromycetes; Lecanorales; Parmeliaceae
Also listed under: 2 other names
Description: eukaryotic LSU rRNA
Rfam family: Eukaryotic large subunit ribosomal RNA
Source: RNAcentral
CAGUAACGGCGAGUGAAGCGGCAACAGCUCAAAUUUGAAAUCUGGCUCCUUCGGGGUCCGAAUUGUAAUUUGUAGAGAGUGCUUCGGGCGAGACCUCGGUCUAAGUCCAUUGGAACAUGGUGUCAUAGAGGGUGAGAAUCCCGUAUGCGACCGUGGCUCGAGCCCAUGUGAAGCCUCUUCGACGAGUCGAGUUGUUUGGGAAUGCAGCUCAAAACGGGUGGUAAAUUUCAUCUAAAGCUAAAUACUGGCUGGAGACCGAUAGCGCACAAGUAGAGUGAUCGAAAGAUGAAAAGCACUUUGGAAAGAGAGUCAAACAGUACGUGAAAUUGUUGAAAGGGAAGCGCUUGCAACCAGACCUGCCCGUAGGCGAUCAGCCGCUGUUCUCAGCGGUGCACUCGCUCUGCGAUCAGGCCAGCAUCGGUUUCGGCGGUCGGAUAAAGGCCUUGGGAAUGUAGCUUCCCUUCGGGGGAGUCUUAUAGCCCUCGGUGCAAUGCGGCCAGCCGGGACCGAGGACCGCGCUUCGGCUAGGAUGCUGGCGUAAUGGUUGUAAGCGACCCGUCUUGAAACACGGACCAAGGAGUCUAACAUCUAUGCGAGUGUUUGGGUGUCAAACCCAUACGCGGAAUGAAAGUGAACGGAGGUGAGAACCCUUAAGGGCGCAUCAUCGACCGAUCCAGAUGUCUUCGGAUGGAUUUGAGUAUGAGCAUAGCUGUUGGGACCCGAAAGAUGGUGAACUAUGCCUGAAUAGGGUGAAGCCAGAGGAAACUCUGGUGGAGGCUCGCAGCGGUUCUGACGUGCAAAUCGAUCGUCAAAUUUGGGUAUAGGGGCGAAAGACUAAUC